AAAUUGAAGAGUUUGAUCAUGGCUCAGAUUGAACGCUGGCGGCAGGCCUAACACAUGCAAGUCGAACGGUAGCACAGAGAGCUUGCUCUCGGGUGACGAGUGGCGGACGGGUGAGUAAUGUCUGGGAAACUGCCCGAUGGAGGGGGAUAACUACUGGAAACGGUAGCUAAUACCGCAUAACGUCGCAAGACCAAAGUGGGGGACCUUCGGGCCUCACACCAUCGGAUGUGCCCAGAUGGGAUUAGCUAGUAGGUGGGGUAACGGCUCACCUAGGCGACGAUCCCUAGCUGGUCUGAGAGGAUGACCAGCCACACUGGAACUGAGACACGGUCCAGACUCCUACGGGAGGCAGCAGUGGGGAAUAUUGCACAAUGGGCGCAAGCCUGAUGCAGCCAUGCCGCGUGUAUGAAGAAGGCCUUCGGGUUGUAAAGUACUUUCAGCGAGGAGGAAGGCGUUGUGGUUAAUAACCACAGCGAUUGACGUUACUCGCAGAAGAAGCACCGGCUAACUCCGUGCCAGCAGCCGCGGUAAUACGGAGGGUGCAAGCGUUAAUCGGAAUUACUGGGCGUAAAGCGCACGCAGGCGGUUUGUUAAGUCAGAUGUGAAAUCCCCGGGCUCAACCUGGGAACUGCAUUUGAAACUGGCAAGCUUGAGUCUCGUAGAGGGGGGUAGAAU
RNAcentral lists this ribosomal RNA (675 nucleotides) under Salmonella enterica subsp. enterica serovar Kentucky. Its description in RNAcentral is "bacterial SSU rRNA". It matches the Rfam family "Bacterial small subunit ribosomal RNA", at positions 1 to 667 of the family's 1533-position model. Lineage: Bacteria; Pseudomonadati; Pseudomonadota; Gammaproteobacteria; Enterobacterales; Enterobacteriaceae. The record is from RNAcentral.